This 253-nucleotide ribosomal RNA is filed under the name uncultured bacterium. Its description in RNAcentral is "partial 16S ribosomal RNA". It matches the Rfam family "Bacterial small subunit ribosomal RNA", at positions 524 to 776 of the family's 1533-position model. The record is from RNAcentral. RNAcentral also lists the same sequence under 1 other name.
GACGAGCUCUCCGAACGUUAUUCGGUAUCACUGGGCUUAAAGAGUUCGUAGGCGGCUUUGCAGGUGAGGUGUGAAAGCCCACGGCCUAACCGUGGAAUUGCGCUUCAAACCGUAGGGCUAGAGGGAUACAGGGGUAAGCGGAACAGAUGGUGGAGCGGUGAAAUGCGUUGAUAUCAUCUGGAACACCGGUGGCGAAGGCGGCUUACUGGGUAUUUUCUGACGCUGAGGAACGAAAGCUAGGGUAGCGAACGGG